AGAGUUUGAUCCUGGCUCAGGACGAACGCUGGCGGCGUGCUUAACACAUGCAAGUCGAGCGGUAAGGCCCUUUCGGGGGUACACGAGCGGCGAACGGGUGAGUAACACGUGGGUGACCUGCCCUCAGCUCUGGGAUAAGCCCGGGAAACUGGGUCUAAUACCGGAUAUGACUCCACGGUGCAUGUCGUGGGGUGGAAAGCCUUGUGCGGCUGAGGAUGGGCCCGCGGCCUAUCAGCUUGUUGGUGGGGUGAUGGCCUACCAAGGCGACGACGGGUAGCCGGCCUGAGAGGGCGACCGGCCACACUGGGACUGAGACACGGCCCAGACUCCUACGGGAGGCAGCAGUGGGGAAUCUUGCGCAAUGGGUGAAAGCCUGACGCAGCGACGCCGCGUGAGGGAUGACGGCCUUCGGGUUGUAAACCUCUUUCAGCUCCGACGAAGCGAAAGUGACGGUAGGAGCAGAAGAAGCACCGGCCAACUACGUGCCAGCAGCCGCGGUAAUACGUAGGGUGCAAGCGUUGUCCGGAAUUAUUGGGCGUAAAGAGCUCGUAGGCGGUCUGUCGCGUCGGCUGUGAAAACUCGGGGCUCAACUCCGAGCCUGCAGUCGAUACGGGCAGGCUAGAGUGCGGCAGGGGAGACUGGAAUUCCUGGUGUANCGGUGAAAUGCGCAGAUAUCAGGAGGAACACCGGUGGCGAAGGCCGGUUUUUGGGCCGAUUCUGACCCUGAGGAACNAAACCGUGGGGAGCGAACCGG
This 754-nucleotide ribosomal RNA is filed under the name uncultured bacterium. RNAcentral's name for it is "bacterial SSU rRNA". It matches the Rfam family "Bacterial small subunit ribosomal RNA", at positions 8 to 776 of the family's 1533-position model. The record is from RNAcentral.